GACGAACGCUGGCGGCGUGCUUAACACAUGCAAGUCGAACGCUGAAGCCUGGCUUUUGUUGGGUGGAUGAGUGGCGAACGGGUGAGUAACACGUGAGUAACCUGCCCUCUUCUUUGGGAUAACGCCCGGAAACGGGUGCUAAUACUGGAUAUUCACUUGCCUUCGCAUGGGGGUGGGUGGAAAGGGUUUUUUCUGGUGGGGGAUGGGCUCGCGGCCUAUCAGCUUGUUGGUGGGGUGAUGGCUUACCAAGGCUUUGACGGGUAGCCGGCCUGAGAGGGUGACCGGUCACAUUGGGACUGAGAUACGGCCCAGACUCCUACGGGAGGCAGCAGUGGGGAAUAUUGCACAAUGGGCGCAAGCCUGAUGCAGCGACGCCGCGUGAGGGAUGGAGGCCUUCGGGUUGUGAACCUCUUUCGCUCAUGGUCAAGCCGCAACUCAUGGUUGUGGUGAGGGUAGUGGGUAAAGAAGCGCCGGCUAACUACGUGCCAGCAGCCGCGGUAAUACGUAGGGCGCGAGCGUUGUCCGGAAUUAUUGGGCGUAAAGGGCUUGUAGGCGGUUGGUCGCGUCUGCCGUGAAAUCCUCUGGCUUAACUGGGGGCGUGCGGUGGGUACGGGCUGACUUGAGUGCGGUAGGGGAGACUGGAACUCCUGGUGUAGCGGUGGAAUGCGCAGAUAUCAGGAAGAACACCGGUGGCGAAGGCGGGUCUCUGGGCCGUUACUGACGCUGAGGAGCGAAAGCGUGGGGAGCGAACAGG
RNAcentral lists this ribosomal RNA (754 nucleotides) under uncultured Actinomycetes bacterium. Its description in RNAcentral is "bacterial SSU rRNA". It matches the Rfam family "Bacterial small subunit ribosomal RNA", at positions 28 to 776 of the family's 1533-position model. The record is from RNAcentral. Lineage: Bacteria; Bacillati; Actinomycetota; Actinomycetes.